This 3950-nucleotide unclassified non-coding RNA is filed under the name Neodiprion lecontei (redheaded pine sawfly). RNAcentral describes it as "sCY1-like protein 2, transcript variant X1". The record is from RNAcentral. Lineage: Eukaryota; Metazoa; Arthropoda; Insecta; Hymenoptera; Diprionidae.
UUACGUGCCGUGCACGACGCACCUUCUUAGUUGUUUGAAAAUGAUACCCAUGGCUAACUGCCUUCAGCAAACUUCAAUCAACGAUAUUACUUACCGUACGCACAGAUGUAUGUUUUUUUCACUGAAACAAAACCAAAAGUCAUAUCGUACUUACUUUUGUUAAGAAACAACCACAAAGUAGUAGAAACAACUUAUGAAUGGCCUCGACACCAGCUUCCGUUGAGUAAACCACAGGGUGCGCUCUUUCAUUCGGCCGUUGCGCGUAGAUUGUAUCUUCAUUUCUUACUAAAUAUCCAAGUACGACGGAGACAAAUAUAGGUAUUCAUGCAUACCUGCGCAGAGAGAAUAAAAGGACGUACCCCACAUGCAGGCAUGUGGCUGCAUUAGUCAUCAGCCGUAGGUGGGCGAUGUGUCAAAUAAAGUGACAUUCGACAUAUCGGUUUAAUUGUAAAUAUGUACAAUUACAGCGUUGAUAAAGCUGAGCUGUGAAGGUCUGGUCAACGGUAUAGAACAACAUUCUCCAUCCAUUCAGUGAAACUGAUAUUAAUCAAGAGUUACAAAUAUGGACGUCUUGAACAAGCUCCGAAACACAGUGAGCAACACCAUAAGCAAUACUAUAAGCAACACUGUUAACAGUACAGCUUAUGGUCUCUCCCAACUAUCAAGUGUUCUGCCUGGAAAUCCAGUAACCAGAGAAUUUGAAGCAACUGCACAUGUCGGCAGCGCUGGUCCAGGCCUGCUAUGGAAGGUUUACAGUGGUUAUAAAAAAUCAACCAAACAGGAAGCAGCUAUAUUUGUCUUUGAGAAACGCCAGCUAGACCGAUGGUCUGGAAAAGUUGAGCGUGAAGCUGUUCUUGAUUCUCUCAGACGUGGGGUUACUCAAAUCACAAAACUCCGCCAUCCUCAGGUUUUGAUAGUUCAGCAUCCGCUGGAGGAGUCGCGGGACAGUUUAGCCUUUGCUACCGAACCAGUCUUUGCAAGCCUUGCUAACGUACUAGGCCGGCUUGAAAAUGUACCUCAACCAACGCCAGCUGCUUUAAGAGAUUAUAAACUACUUGAUGUCGAAAUUCGCUACGGUCUCAUGCAACUAGGCGAAGGUUUAGCCUUUCUCCAUACUGAUGUCAAACUGUUGCACAGAAAUUUGUGCCCAGAAGCCAUUAUGAUCAAUGGACAUGGAGCCUGGAAAAUUUUUGGAUUUGAUUUCUGUGCUGUUAAUCAGAGCCCGAACGAUAAACAGCCAUCGUGGUCAUAUGCAGAUUAUGACCCAACAAUACCGAGUAUAGCACAGCCAUCUUUAGAUUAUUUAGCACCUGAGUGUGCAAUUGCAGGCAGCUGCAGUCCACCUAGUGAUAUUUUUUCACUGGGCAUGCUCGUGUAUGUCUUACAUUCACCAGGGGGCCGUCCACUGAACGAAUGUCAUGGAGAUCCGUCAAAAUGCCGACGCUUUUUGGGAGAUCUAAAGAACUCUCUUUCCUCAUCUAAACUUAGUCACAUUCCUGAACCACUAAGAGAUACUACAAAACUCAUGCUAAGUAAUAAUCCUGAACUGAGACCAGAUGCGCAUCAAUUUAUUAAGAUUGAUUACUUUACUGAUAUUGGAGUGCGGACAUUGAACUAUUUGGACAAACUCUUUCAAUGGGACAAUCUACAAAAGUCCCAGUUUUACAAAGGUCUGCCAAAAGUAAUAAAGCAACUUCCGCACAGAGUUGCCCUACACAGAGUAUUACCAGCCCUCUACAAAGAAUUUGUUAAUGCUCCAAUGGUGCCUUUUGUACUCCCAAGUGUACUACAGGUAUCGGAAAAUGGCACUGCAGAAGAAUUCAAGGAACACAUUUUACCCAACCUAAAACCUGUGUUGGCACUGGAAGACCCACCACAGGUCAGCUUAGUUUUACUACAACGUGUUGAUCUACUUUUGAAACUGUGCCCGGCUGAUGCGAUCAGAAACAAUGUCCUGCCACUUCUUACACGAGCUCUAGAUUCCGAUUGGGAGCAGCUGCAAGAGCUCUGCCUUGCUGCGCUCCCUUCUAUAGCCAACUUGAUCGAUGGACCAUCAAUGAAAAAUGCGAUUUUACCUAGAAUUAAAAAAUUAUGUCUAGCAAGUAAAGGUAGUACCAACUUGGGGGUGAGGGUGAACUGUCUUCUGUGCCUUGCUAAAAUGCUAGACCACUUGGACAAGUGGUUGAUUCUAGAUCAAAUUCUUCCAUUUCUCCAAGAAGUCCCACAUUCUGGCGAACCUGCCGUUUUAAUGGCCAUUAUAGGUAUUUACAAGCUGGUACUGACCCACAGCAAGCUGGGCAUGAGUAAGGAAAUGUUGGCAACUCGAAUUUUGCCAUUUCUGCUUCCAUUCUGUGUUGAGCCAGGACUUAGUCCCACACAAUUUGAAACACUAGCUUCGCUUGUGGGAGAUAUGGUGACACGAGUUACCUCUGAGCAUCGUGAAGCUCUCCGUCAACUGGAUGCUGUCCGAAAGGAAGCUCAACAAUUUGAUCAGGCUCUUUCCCAAGCUGGCAAUCCUACAUCUAGUAGUUUGAGUGACACGUUCGCUGGAAUUGAACUAGCACCACCGCCUACUGCUGCGGCAAAAACGUGCGAUACAAAAGUACUCAGCCUACAAGAGAAGCAAAAACUCGUCCAGCAACAAGAAGCACAUCAGAGACUGCAAGCCCAAGCGCCAAUGGCUCCAAAGCCAAUUGUUCAACCUGUGAAAUCCAAGCCCAAAGAUCUAACUGACACGCUUUUACAAAAUAAUCUAAAUCAGUUGAACAAACCUUUAACUAAGUCUUCAAGUUCUGAAUCAAAUUAUGCCGCCUUGCAGUCUCCGUCCUGGGGAAAGACUGGAAUGACUAACGGUAUGACAAACAGUCAAACUCAGUGGGGUGAUCUAGCAAUCACAGCUGGACCACAAACUGUUCAAAACCCAAUGUCAGGUUGGGGUUCAAACGCAAUGAAUCCAACUAUGAAUUGGGGGGGAUCUCAGCAAUCUGCACCAAACUGGAAUCAGACUAGAGUCAAUCAAAAUAUAGGUCAGAAUUGGGGAUCAUCUGUAAAUUCUGGAAUAAGGCCACAAUGGAGACCGGAAGGAGGGGCACAGGGGAUGUCUCAACCUCUUGUAUCCCAACCACGAACGACUCCGAAUCUAUCCACACAAGACAUUAUGGACUUACUUAGCUAAUACAAACUGACUGCAUUAGAGAAUAGUUUAAUAUUCGACUUAACUGUUACAAAGUGAUACUCAAGCAUUACAGGAACCACGAAAUGCGGGACUUGUACUUGUAAAAUCGCGACAAAGUUUGGAAGAUUUCUACAAGAAUACGUGCACCUCGUUAUUAGUGACUAUUUCCGUUGUACAUGCUAGAAAUGACUGUUUGGUAACUGUUAUCAACUUGGAUUCAUCUUUUUUUUCGACAAUUGUUAUUAUGAUACAAAUUCGAAUAAACUGGUUAACUAUAAGCAUCAGAUUUAAAAUUUGUGACAGUUUACAUUUUUAUAAUGUAAUCACGAAUUUUACCCGUUUUGUAGAAAAUUACGUUAUAAAUACACCUACGUUAAAAUUUACGAACAUAAUCUAUAAAGUACUGUUUGCAGUGUAUUUAUAAAUUUAGUUUAAUCAAAAAUCACUUAUUUAAUUGGAAUUUAUCCAAGAAUUUCACUCACGUUCACAGUAACUCAUACUUUAUACCCUAAAAUAUCUAUAUGCAUUGGUGCAUUUCAUAUAGAAUAUAGAUUGAGUUUUUCUAAAUACACAAAGUAUGUUCAUAUCAGUAAACUAACAGAGUGUUAUGCUUUUCUAACAUAAAUCUAGCUCAAAUGAGUACUUAUGUAAUAUGUAUAGUGAAGUAAAUUAUUUUUCAAUUAACUAUCCCUACACAAUUACAUAACUGAGAUAACAUAAAGGAUAUCCAAUCUAACUAUAUAACCAGAUUCAAUAAAGAAUAGAAUUCGAUUUU